UACUUCAUAGUGAGUUUACAGAGGGAGAC
This 29-nucleotide non-coding RNA is filed under the name Rattus norvegicus (Norway rat). The record is from RNAcentral. Lineage: Eukaryota; Metazoa; Chordata; Mammalia; Rodentia; Muridae.